GGGAGGUGGCACAGAGCAGGGCUUGGUGUCCUCAGAGCCGGCAGGAUUCACUGUGGGGAUCACAACUCUGCCAUCUCCUCGUUUGGAGUUUAUCCUUGUUUCCUGAGGAAUCUGCAACGCAGAGAUUUGGGAUUAUGGGGUGAGAAUCGAGGCUGCCACCAAGGAGAGCUCCUGUUCCCCCUGGGCAGGCACCCCAGAAAUUUGGGAUUAUGGGGUGAAAAUCGAGGCUGCUACCAAGGAGAGAGAGCUCCUGUUCCCCUUGGGCAGGCAACCCAGAAAUUUGGGAUUGGGGUGAGAAUUGAGGCUGCCCUGCCACCAAGGAGAGAGAGCUCCUGUGCCCCCUGGGCAGAAAACCCAGAAAUUUGGGAUUAUUUGGGGUGAGAAUUGAGGCUGCCACCAAGGAAAGAGCUCCUGUUCCCCCAGGGCAGGCUGGCACCUGCCAGUGGGAAAGGGAUGGGAACCCACCCAAACCCAGCCCCUCGUGGAUUUUCAUCCGU
Molecule: long non-coding RNA, 497 nt
Filed under: Zonotrichia albicollis (white-throated sparrow)
Lineage: Eukaryota; Metazoa; Chordata; Aves; Passeriformes; Passerellidae
Description: lncRNA (ENSZALG00000007279.1)
Source: RNAcentral